UCUACACAAACAUUUGAAUAUUCGUUCAUUCAUUUGGAUUGAAUUUCAAAUGGAAUUUUCACGUACGUGUUCGGAUGUGAACAUGACGAGUGGGCCGGGCAAGGAUUGCAAUCCUUCGCUCUUGACACGUGGAUAUUUGCGGAGCCAGGAUCGAAUCUCCACCCUUGUAGCCGAUAAUCUCCCUCAUUUUCUUGAGUGUCAUGUGCUCCAUGAGGAUAAAGACGGGCGAAAUCUCGUAGGUGAACAUGUUGGUGUUGGCCGUGGCCGUCAGCCACUCACCGGCCAUGGAAAUGACGUCAACUCCAUUGGACAGUUGAUUGAAGAAACUACACCCAUCAAGAGACACACAAUCCCCCCUUCUGGCAAAGAAAAUCUAUUCUUUGCCCUUCAGAGGAGAUAACACCCAAAUGUUUAUAGAUGCGGAUGAGACCUGUCAUCAACGCGGUCCCAGGAGAACCAACCACACCCCCACUAUUUACCAUUUCGGAUCGCAGACUGUACGGGCUGCUCAAGCUGCUGACAUCUCUCUCUCUCCACCCCUCAGCUUUCAAUAACGUGUUGUACGUCGUCGUCGGCUGUCGCUCACUUCUUUCUUCCAACACUUGGAAUAAAAAAGCAAGGAGUGAACGGGUCGUGGCAAUCCGCGUGAGACGCUACGCAGCUGCGGGCGUGAGACGGACCGUCUUGAAUGCGGACGUCAAGCGGAAAGACAAAGGAUCAAAAUCUAUUCCACCCACCCACCCAAAAAAGACACACGGAUGGAAAUCUAUCAAUCAACCGAUUUUGAUCCUUAUAGAUGUGAUGUACUGGUUGGUUCCCGAUUACCAGCGACUGUGUUCUUGAUCGAUCCGCAAAAAUUCUCUCGCUCCUUUUUUAUUUCCGUCGAGCUCCUAGAUGAGAAAACAAGGAGCCAAUCGAAUGGAUAGCAGCUGCUUCCAUCUCUCCCCACCCCACCCCAUAUGGAAAAGCGAAGGAGGCCGAAACCACGAAACGCAACUUUUCCAUCAGACGCCCAUUCCCUUUGAAUAUUAUUACAUACGCCAUGGAAAAAGAGUGGAAAAUCUUAUUCGAGAGAGAGGAGCUGGAAGCAUAUUAAAAUGGCUGCACCGAGAGGCGGCAGAAGGAGCCUCAACUGGAAAUGUCAAACACUCGUGGCCCCCCACCCGAGUUAGUAGUAUUGUAGCAGUGAUUGGAGGAUCGGGUCCGGCGAUAAGAGUCUGAGGGAUAUCAUCCACUUCAUUUCCUCCUGCGCUGUCCAAUUGUUUGGUGGGCGCACACACACACAACUGACACGCCAUUUCCACCCACAAGGAUGAAGGGGGGGAUCCCUCCAUCACAUCCGCCUACACUCCUAUACCUCGGAUAGGUUUGACAUUUCGGGUUAAACAGCAGCUGCGGUUCGUCACAUAUAUCCGAAAUAGAAGGUUGUAUCAAUAUUAUUCCAUCUUGUUUAGAAACGCCUAAACUACUAUUUAAUCCACCCUAUUAAUUCAGCGUGGCAAGGAUCUUUUUUCUUUUGUGUUUGAGCUGCGGCUAAUUG
Molecule: long non-coding RNA, 1540 nt
Filed under: Daphnia pulex (common water flea)
Lineage: Eukaryota; Metazoa; Arthropoda; Branchiopoda; Diplostraca; Daphniidae
Description: uncharacterized LOC124198351, transcript variant X1
Source: RNAcentral